This 356-nucleotide long non-coding RNA is filed under the name Vitis vinifera (wine grape). RNAcentral's name for it is "long non-coding RNA (VVIN_LNC004364)". The record is from RNAcentral. Lineage: Eukaryota; Viridiplantae; Streptophyta; Magnoliopsida; Vitales; Vitaceae.
GUGCAGAGGAGACCAGGAAGCAGUUGAAAAGCAGGGUAAUGAGUGAAGCUGGUAUGAAGGUUUCUAGACAGGCACCAAAGAACCCCCGAAAGAACAAUAAGAAGGCCAACAAUGCUGAACCUGCUGCAGAAACCAUGGAUGUGUCAGCUAGCUCUGCAAUGGAAAUGGGUAAGGACCUGGAAUAAGUAUUAUUUGCUGGAAAGCAGAGAGUCAGCUCUCUUCUUUGGAGUUGAGACAUUUGAUGUAUACUAACCUUUGUAUAUGCUUCAUCAGAGAGUGUUCCUGAGGUGGUGAAGCCAAAGGGCAGGGCAGCUCCAAGGAAGGCCCCAGCCAAAAAGGUUGGCUUCAUCUUUUAG